This 1524-nucleotide unclassified non-coding RNA is filed under the name Hevea brasiliensis (rubber tree). Lineage: Eukaryota; Viridiplantae; Streptophyta; Magnoliopsida; Malpighiales; Euphorbiaceae. The record is from RNAcentral.
ACCAAAUUAUACAUGUCGAUAAGCAGGUUUGUAAAUGUGAGACGCAAGAAGUUCACAAUGCACCCUCCAAAUAUAUAGGUUAAAUAUUAAGGCACGAAUCUGAUAUGGUUGCUUGAAAAGCAAUACGAAUAGGUACCAAUUAAUACUACUAAAUUAAAAAAAAUGUAAAUAUAAUAUUAAAUGCUUAACAAAAUUUGCAUGAUGUGGCUAUAUUAGAAGUAAUAUCCAAACAAUCGUUUGAGAACAAAAGGAAUCCUCCCCUUUAAUACGGCGACACACAUGAAAACAAAAGGAAUUGUUACAUUGCGUUGCUUUAGGUACUGAAACCUGAAUUAGUUACAGUUACAACAAAUGACAGAAUGACUGCUAAAUAUGUAGACAGAUAUUGCACAUACUACUUCAUGUCGAGCCAAAAGAUAGAAUUGAUGCACUUCAAUGGAGACAUCAGGUAAUUAAAUGGUCUAUAGUCUCAAAAUCCCCAUUAAACAUCAAAAACAACUACAGAGCAAAGAAAACUACAAUAAGACUAAAUAGCAUCGAAAAAUGUUCUCAUGAAAAUUUGUCCCAACACAUAAUUUGUUGACUGAAUCUGUAACAGGAUAUAUGCCAGCAAUAGCCUCUAGCCUUAAGCAGAUGUUGCUGCUCCCUUCUUCCUUGGUGCUGCUUGAGUGCCUUCUCUAAAACCACUCUUGAACCUGCGAGGUACAUGGCGGAGAUACCUCAUUCUUCCGGUUCCAGUUGUCUUUCUUCGGAUGGCCUUCACACUCCAGUUGUCUGAAAACCACAAUUGACAUCUUGUUCACAAGCUAAGUGAAAUACACAGGUUAUUACCUACUAAUUACAGAUAUAAGGCCAAUCAAGAUGUGGAGCCACUGGAUUUGACUACACAUUUGACAAUUUUUCAGAGACACAUGUCCACGAAGAAUGAAAUUGGUACAGGGUUUACAUCUUUUACAAAUCCAUGUGUACAUAUAUGUUUACAUAGAUGAUGAUGAUGAUGAUGAUAUAAUUUUACUUACAAAGACACAAUUCACACCAUAUGUAAGAUCCAUAAACAAGCAAAUAUAAUAAUUGUUACUCAUUGGAUGCGAAAUUGGCUAUCAUAACAAAACAGUGAUAUCUGCAUUCAUAAACAUGGCUGCAGAAGAGGGGUCCUAGCCUCAAAAUUCGACCACUAGUUCUCUAAAAGAAGCGAAGUCCACUAUACACAUAAUCAUACUCAAAACAACAGAUCAGGAACACGCACAUAUAUACACAACAUAGGGAUGUAAAAACGAACAUUAUCUUGAGAAGAACAAUAAAUAUCACUUCUUACCCACUUAUACAUGUUAAUACAUAGCUUCAUAUUCGCAUAGAAUGAUUAAGGAACAUGAAAUUAUACUAGCAAGGGAGUUGUUAUACAUACAUUUCCUCUUGCGGGCAGCAGGGAAAGCACAGGCAGCACAACGGCUCUUCUGGAGGUGGAAGCUGCGUCGGCCACACCUCACGCAGAGGGUGUGAGUCUUGUUCCUCCUCUUACCAAAA